Molecule: long non-coding RNA, 181 nt
Filed under: Cavia porcellus (domestic guinea pig)
Lineage: Eukaryota; Metazoa; Chordata; Mammalia; Rodentia; Caviidae
Description: lncRNA (ENSCPOG00000037352.1)
Source: RNAcentral
UGAAUCCUGUGACUCAGCUCAUUCCCUAGCAGAAUGCAAAGGGCAAAAUGUAAAACCAGCAGUAACCUAUGUCAGGGUCCCAGGAAAAGAAAUCAAGUCCAAGGCAGAUCUUCCGUAAUCAGGGAUAAAAGGAAUGUGUAGGGUUAAUGAACCAAAGGUCAAAAGACGUAUCUGAACUCCG